CCCGGCCGGCCGGCCCACGGGCGGGAGGACGGGCCUCCGCUCGGGCGGAGGCGGCGCGGUGGCUGAUCAGAGAGCGGAGGGCCUCGCCGGGGCCGGGAGCUGGGCGCGGUCCUGCUCAGCCCAGCUCGCCGCGCGCCGGCCCUCGGCGCCCUGGUUCUGCGGAUCAGGAGUUGAAACCAGCACCUUCCCUUUCUCUGAGUCCUGCCUCCUUCUGCAGAAGGGAGCUCAAAAGAACUUUGUUGUUUUGCCUUUUACUCUGGGGUGAAAGCGGCAGACGAUGAGGUACGUGAGAUGGUGAAAUGAUUUGCUUCUGCCAUGCUAGGGUCACGGGUGGAUCCCCCUAAACUCUCGGUGGCCCCCUCAGUAGUUUUGGAAGAGGACCAAGUCCUUGUCUGUCCAGCAGUGGAUCUGGAAGCAGGAUGCCGGCUCAGGGACUUCACUGAGAAAAUAAUGAAUGUCAAAGGAAAAGUAAUUCUGUCAAUGCUGGUUGUCUCAACUGUGAUCAUUGUGUUUUGGGAAUUUAUCAACAGCACAGAAGGCUCUUUCUUGUGGAUAUAUCACUCAAAAAACCCAGAAGUUGAUGACAGCAGUGCUCAGAAGGGCUGGUGGUUUCUGAGCUGGUUUAACAAUGGGAUCCACAAUUAUCAACAAGGGGAAGAAGACAUAGACAAAGAAAAAGGAAGAGAGGAGACCAAAGGAAGGAAAAUGACACAACAGAGCUUCGGCUAUGGGACUGGUUUAAUCCAAACUUGAAGGAAUCCAAAUAACUAAACUGGACUCUGGUUUUCUGACUCAGUCCUUCUAGAAGACCUGGACUGAGAGAUCAUGCAGUUAAGGAGUGUGUAACAGGCGGACCACCUGUUGGGACUGCGAGAUUCUCAAGGGGAAGGACUGGGUCUCAUUUCUCCCAUCUCAGCGCUUAGCAGGAUGACCUGGUAUAGAGCAGGGAACUGGGAAAUGUGGGUCAGGGGAUCAGACACCCCAGUUGGGUCUUUUAUAUAAAUUAAAUGGCAAAAGGCUCCAUACCCUUCUCCUUCUUUCCUACCCUCCACUUUAUCUGCAAAAUGGGAAUGAUGAUAACACCCACUUCAUAGAAUGGUCAUGAAGAUCAAAUGAGAGAAUAAAAGUCAAGCACUUAGCCUCUGGUGCACAAUAAGUAUUAAAUAAGUUAUACCUAUUCCUCCUUUUCCUUUUUUAAAAAUAAUAUUACCAAAUGUCCAGCUUAUACACAGUUACAAGACUUAGCUAGUGGGCUAUGUUAGAGCUACUAAAAGAUCUUUGACAAGCUAAAACUAAGAUGCAAUGAAUGAGGUGUAACGAACAAGAGAGUUUUAAGUUCAGAAAUGGUUACAGAAGUAUAAGACAGCUGUGUGGGUGUUUUUUGGUUUUUGGUUUCUGGUUUACAAUCUCGUCAUUCAACAAAGAUGGGAGUUUUAUAGAACUAAAAGCACCAUGUAAGCUACUAAAAACAACAACAAAAAAGGCUCAUCAUUUCUCAGUCUGAAUUGACAAAAAUGCCAAUGCUAAUAAAAAUGAUUACUUUUUAUUUU
RNAcentral lists this small RNA (1550 nucleotides) under Pan troglodytes (chimpanzee). RNAcentral's name for it is "processed transcript". The record is from RNAcentral. Lineage: Eukaryota; Metazoa; Chordata; Mammalia; Primates; Hominidae.